This 1218-nucleotide long non-coding RNA is filed under the name Oryzias javanicus (javanese ricefish). RNAcentral's name for it is "lncRNA (ENSOJAG00000008920.1)". The record is from RNAcentral. Lineage: Eukaryota; Metazoa; Chordata; Actinopteri; Beloniformes; Adrianichthyidae.
GUCUACCUGGAACAAACACUGUCACCCUGACCUUCCCCUGUCUGUCUGUGUCUCUGCAGCACUGGUUACCAUGGCAGAAGACCUGAUUCAGGAGGAUUUAACAUUGACCAGGAGAGUUGGUCAAAGUGUCUCUUUCAGCUGUGAACUAACUAAGCCAUUUAAAGAUGAUUAUGUGUUCUGGUACCAGAAGAAAAAUAAAGAAGAAUUCAGAAUAAUUCUCGAUAUAAAGAAAAGUAGUGGUGCAACUGAUAAACGUUAUGGUCAUCCACAGAGAGAUGAUUUCUCAGCUGUUAAAACCCAAAAAGGAUAUGAAUUGAAGAUUGGUAAAAUUACAAUAGAUCAUUCAGCCUCUUACUACUGUAGCUGCUAUAAAGACAAUCUCCACAGUCGGGGGCUCUGGGUACUACAUAUUUGGAUCUGGAACUCGACUGGUUGUAACAGAUGAGUCCGUAGUGAAGCCCGUGGUGAGCGUGUACCCAGCAGCAUCCAGAGUCCCUGUGGAGAGGGGCAGCUCCCUGCUGUGUCUGGCCUCAGAAAUGUUUCCUCCUGUGGUCCAGUUCUCCUGGAAAAGACAGAAGAACAACGGACCGCUGGAGGACAUGAUCUCUGAUGGCGAGGAGCUGCAUCUCAGAGAGUCUGGACACAGCGCCUCCAUCCUGUUGGCCCAUCGGCAAAAAGACAGCUCCUAUAAAUACAGCUGCUCUGUCAAGCACGAGGGGGCCACUGUGGAGGCCCAAACACAACAAGAGUUGCCGACACUUCCACCUGUAGUUUCCACAGCAGCUCCAACUUCCCAUUCAACAUCUUCCAGCAUUCUGACUACAGUAACACCCAUUGUUCCCUCCCUGGACCUGGUGUUUCUGUCCUUCCAGUCUGAGUCCAGGGUGAAGCUGCUCUGCCUGCUGUACACAGUGCUGAUAGUGAAGAGUCUGGUGUACUGCUGUGGACUCUCUCUGCUGAUGAUCCUCAGAAACAAGGGAGCAUCCACCAACUCCAAACAUGCUGACUGACUGUUUUCUGAUCAUCUUUUCUCUCCACCAAAUCUCAUCCUUUCAUCUCAUUCAUCACUUUAAUCACAGCUCUCAAAUACUUUUGAUGACUUGAUAUAGAUUCGUCAUCAAACUGACUUGUGGAAGUGUAACAUUGCUUUAUUCUGCUUUAACAUUUUGAAUAUUAUCAACUUUUCACAUUUAUUUGCAACAAUAUUCUAAAAUAAAC